UAACGCGUGGAUAACCUGCCUCACACAGGGGGAUAACAGUUAGAAAUGACUGCUAAUACCGCAUAAGCGCACGGCAUCGCAUGAUGCAGUGUGGAAAACUCCGGUGGUGUGAGAUGGAUCCGCGUCUGAUUAGGUAGUUGGUGGGGUAACGGCCUACCAAGCCGACGAUCAGUAGCCGACCUGAGAGGGUGACCGGCCACAUUGGGACUGAGACACGGCCCAA
This 223-nucleotide ribosomal RNA is filed under the name uncultured bacterium. Its description in RNAcentral is "partial 16S ribosomal RNA". It matches the Rfam family "Bacterial small subunit ribosomal RNA", at positions 111 to 334 of the family's 1533-position model. The record is from RNAcentral.